This 72-nucleotide transfer RNA is filed under the name Amycolatopsis arida. Its description in RNAcentral is "Pseudonocardiaceae bacterium RA45 tRNA". It matches the Rfam family "tRNA". Rfam says of the family: Transfer RNA (tRNA) molecules are approximately 80 nucleotides in length. Their secondary structure includes four short double-helical elements and three loops (D, anti-codon, and T loops). Further hydrogen bonds mediate the characteristic L-shaped molecular structure. tRNAs have two regions of fundamental functional importance: the anti-codon, which is responsible for specific mRNA codon recognition, and the 3' end, to which the tRNAs corresponding amino acid is attached (by aminoacyl-tRNA synthetases). tRNAs cope with the degeneracy of the genetic code in two manners: having more than one tRNA (with a specific anti-codon) for a particular amino acid; and 'wobble' base-pairing, i.e. permitting non-standard base-pairing at the 3rd anti-codon position. The record is from Rfam by way of RNAcentral. Lineage: Bacteria; Bacillati; Actinomycetota; Actinomycetes; Pseudonocardiales; Pseudonocardiaceae.
CAUGGAGUAGAUCAGCGGUAGAUCACCCGGCUGUUCACCGGGAGGGCGCGGGUUCGACUCCCGCCUCCAUGU